Molecule: long non-coding RNA, 2094 nt
Organism: Drosophila montana
Lineage: Eukaryota; Metazoa; Arthropoda; Insecta; Diptera; Drosophilidae
Exons: 6
Source: RefSeq, a predicted model, not a curated record
GCUUGUUUCUCAGUGGGCCGCGCCGGCUGGCUCAUCGGAUUCUCUGGGUGCAGUCCCAUCCCUGGCCCGCAGUCCGCACAAUCGAUAACAACAAAGCUACACGUCUGUAGCAAAACAGACUCACACAACACUACUCAAAAUGAACCACAUAAUCGAUAACAAAUAUUCGGAACUGCUAACUCAUGAACAAAAUAAACAGCUGUAACAACUAUGAAAAUGUAAACAACAAAGAUCGGGCCCCGGUUCCGGACCCAGCGUACCCGCCCUACCAUGAGACGAUCGCCUACACUCGUCUCCCUCAUUUUGGCCACUAAAUGGCCUAUAUUAGCCCGUGUCGGCCAUCAUGCCCACUCUCCCCAACAAUAUUACUUUAGCCGGACAUGCUUUCUUUCAAUAUCUAUCUAGAAUCUCAUGCAAGUGGAGAUUUCGUUAACUUCACAGGUGCGUAUAAUGGUUUGUGUAAUCUUAUAAUUAUUGGCAUUAAUAUUUCUUUUAUUUCUUUCUAAUUUGCACGAGGAUUCUAUUCAGAUAAAUUAGUAUUCAUGCACGGAACAUUUCUUCUCCGGCACUAAAUGGAACAGGCGACGAAAUACUACAAAGAUAUUGCUAGUCGCCGCAAAAGAAACACGCAAGGAGGCAAUUUAGAGGCAAUCGUUGCGCCGAUUUAGGAACAAUGGCCCACUCAAAUACUUAAAACUGGGUAUGUCACGAUAAUCAGUCGUGCAACAGGUAGGUGAUAUAGAUCUGUAUUAAAUCGCUUAAUUCUACCUUACCCUACCUAAAGAGCUCUCUGGGGGUGGUAAGGGGCGAUAUAAAUGGGUAAAUUCCAAUUAGGCGCAGAUGCAUCACCUUUGGAGUUUCCCUCACCGUUCGCACUCUAAAGUGAAGCUCGGCGUAAGUGCCUAUGGAGUACAAUCAGGAGUCUUCGUCUGACUCUGCCAAGGAGUCGAACGAAGAGGGGCAAAAUGGAACAGACUCACUCGGAGGAUGUGGACGUGGUCUCGCCUGUGGCCGCUUGUUUUGUUUGUUAAGUUUUUUUGUUACUACGCGCCGGCUGAACUUACCGGAUGGAAAAAUUCUAAUCUUUUUGAGCCGACGGCAAAACUAGAAUUUUAUGCUCACUUCGAACUGGCACGCCCGCCGUUGACCGCUGAUCAAAUCGAACUCCCGGCUGUACAUUUGGGCAGCAACAUCGGGGCCGAAUUUCGGCACACGCAUACAUUUGCGAGGCGGGCACCGUUGCUGCCCAUCUGCACAGCUGCAUUUUUUGGGUCAACGGCCCAAAUGAAGGCCAAGGGCAUAUCCAAGGGCAUGCGAUCCACUCUCCUUAUAGUCUGUUUAAGAGCGAAUCGGGCGGCCAAUAGCAAUCGUCGCUUUUGGCGCCGUGGAUCGCAAGCCUGGCGUUGCCACCCUUCAAUAAAUUGGGCUCCACUGUGGGCCCAGCUUCACCCCCCAUACACUGACCAUAUGACAAAAAGAUAUCGGCGUGGCCGAUAAUAUCGCACGCAACCAACACAGCAAACCCUCGAUGCUGGCGAUAACGUCAAAUGCAACAUCACCACGCAGAUUAUUGCAUCGACAUGAACGACCGUUACAAGAAAUCUGCGUGCGCAUUUCCUAGAUUGACCCAGCCGGCUAAUAAGGAUGCCGUAGGCCACACCCACGACAAGUAAUCUAUACUUUCGGCGCUGACCCAAAAAAAAAGGGAACGACGGGCGCUGCCGCGCCAAUGCCUGGCAAGGAGGUGAGCAAGUUACGAUUAUGUUCGUAUAUCUUUAGCAUGGAAAACGCCUAGCACGCGUCCCUGGAGAUCUUCUAACUCGUAGGCGUUGGUACCCACGGCUCGGACGAAGCGGUUCUUCAAGGAUUGAAGGCUUUGCCAAAACUGCUCAGUGCGAAGUUGCGCCUCCACACUUCCUGUCCCGGUUCCAGGUGGAGUUGGCGCGCGCGGUGGUCGUAUCGUUGGCGACUUCGCUCGUACGCGGUAUGCAGGUGUUCCUUGACUUGGCUUCGGAUUACAGCCAGUCUGUCCUUCGCGUCAAGGUCAGAAAUACUGUGAUCGGCCAAUGAUCUCAGCUUCCUGGCCAGUUUAUA